RNAcentral lists this unclassified non-coding RNA (363 nucleotides) under soil metagenome. RNAcentral describes it as "partial contains 5.8S ribosomal RNA, internal transcribed spacer 2, and large subunit ribosomal RNA". The stretch from base 1 to 120 matches the Rfam family "5.8S ribosomal RNA", at positions 35 to 154 of the family's 154-position model. The record is from RNAcentral.
GAUGAAGAACGUAGCGAAAUGCGAUAAGUAAUGUGAAUUGCAGAAUUCAGUGAAUCAUCGAAUCUUUGAACGCACAUUGCGCCCUCCGGCAUUCCGGGGGGCAUUCCUGUCCGAGCGUCACGAAAACCCCAUCACACUCGUUGUGGUCAUGGCUGCAGUGAGUCGUCUCCAGCGGAGAGGGUCACGCCGCUGAAAGGAAUGGUGCGGAUGAGUUCCGAUGGCCGAACGUAGUACUUGACAACCGUCGGCCGAUGGGACCCUCCAUCUCGCCCUGACGACGUACCCCCGUCGUACCCCCGAUCAGGUGGACCUCGGAUCAGGUAGGGAUACCCGCUGAACUUAAGCAUAUCAAUAAGCGGAGGA